Molecule: ribosomal RNA, 254 nt
Filed under: uncultured bacterium
Lineage: Bacteria
Description: partial 16S ribosomal RNA
Rfam family: Bacterial small subunit ribosomal RNA
Source: RNAcentral
UACGAAGGGGGGCUAGCGUUGCUCGGAAUCACUGGGCGUAAAGGGCGCGUAGGCGGCUUUCUAAGGUCGGGGGUGAAAUCCUGGAGCUCAACUCCAGAACUGCCUUCGAUACUGGGAGCUCGAGUCCGGGAGAGGUGAGUGGGACUGCGAGUGUAGAGGUGAAAUUCGUAGAUAUUCGCAAGAACACCAGUGGCGAAGGCGGCUCACUGGCCCGGUACUGACGCUGAGGAACGAAAGCUAGGGGAGCAAACAGG